GCGGCAGGCCUAACACAUGCAAGUCGAGGGGUAACGAGGCGGUAGCAAUACUGCGCUGACGACCGGCGCACGGGUGCGUAACGCGUAUACAACCUGCCCGUAACAGGGGGAUAACGGGGUGAAAACCCCACUAAUACCCCAUAUUGACGAGCUGUCGCAUGGCGGCACGUCGAAAGCUUCGGUGGUUACGGAUGGGUAUGCGUGGCAUUAGGUAGUUGGCGGGGCAACGGCCCACCAAGCCCACGAUGCCUAGGGGAGCUGAGAGGCUAAUCCCCCACACUGGUACUGAGACACGGACCAGACUCCUACGGGAGGCAGCAGUGAGGAAUAUUGGUCAAUGGAGGGAACUCUGAACCAGCCAUGCCCGCGUGAGGGAGGAAGGCCCUAUGGGUUGUAAACCUCUUUUGACGGGGGUCAAUAAGGCGGAUGCGUCCGCCGACGAGCGUACCCGUCGAAUAAGCAUCGGCUAACUCCGUGCCAGCCGCCGC
RNAcentral lists this ribosomal RNA (488 nucleotides) under uncultured bacterium. RNAcentral's name for it is "bacterial SSU rRNA". It matches the Rfam family "Bacterial small subunit ribosomal RNA", at positions 39 to 518 of the family's 1533-position model. The record is from RNAcentral.